GAGACUUCCCAGCCCUGCACCCGCAGUGCUGAAUCCGAUGGAGCUCACGUGCAGAGGUCAUGGCUCCAAACAGUGCUCAGCCAGCACAAACCGGAGCUUCAUCCAGAAAGGAGAAUGAAGAUGCUGUUGAGAAAGCGCAUAUUUGCGGAGGCCCCAAGGCCAAGAGGCAUCAGAUGUCCAACAGCAGCUCCAUCACCAAGUUCCUUCUCCUGCCAUUUGCAGUCACACGG
Non-coding RNA from Anas platyrhynchos (mallard), 230 nucleotides. The record is from RefSeq and is a predicted model, not a curated record. Lineage: Eukaryota; Metazoa; Chordata; Aves; Anseriformes; Anatidae.